GAGAAGGGGGGUGACCUGUGUGUGGCUGGAAAGCUCAUCUUUCUCACCAACAGAAGUUGGUCCAAUAAAAGAUAUUACCUCCCCCACUU
Gopherus evgoodei (Goodes thornscrub tortoise) is the source of this 89-nucleotide long non-coding RNA. RefSeq lists it as uncharacterized. The transcript has 3 exons. Lineage: Eukaryota; Metazoa; Chordata; Testudines; Testudinidae. The record is from RefSeq and is a predicted model, not a curated record.